This is a small nuclear RNA of Peromyscus leucopus (white-footed mouse), 102 nucleotides long. The record is from RefSeq and is a predicted model, not a curated record. Lineage: Eukaryota; Metazoa; Chordata; Mammalia; Rodentia; Cricetidae.
GUGCUCUCAGCACACAUACUAAAAAAUGAGAAUGAUAUAGAGAAGAUUAGCAUGGCCCCUGGGCAAGGAUGACAGCAAAUUUGUGAAGUGUUCCAUUUUUAU